This 499-nucleotide ribosomal RNA is filed under the name uncultured bacterium. RNAcentral's name for it is "partial 16S ribosomal RNA". It matches the Rfam family "Bacterial small subunit ribosomal RNA", at positions 899 to 1397 of the family's 1533-position model. The record is from RNAcentral.
ACUCAAAUGAAUAGACGGGGGCCCGCACAAGCGGUGGAGCAUGUGGUUUAAUUCGAUGCAACGCGAAGAACCUUACCUGCUCUUGACAUCUGCGGAAUCUUCCAGAGAUGGGAGAGUGCCUUCGGGAGCCGCAAGACAGGUGCUGCAUGGCUGUCGUCAGCUCGUGUCGUGAGAUGUUGGGUUAAGUCCCGUAACGAGCGCAACCCUUGUCCCUAGUUGCCAGCGAGUAAAGUCGGGAACUCUAGGGAGACUGCCGGUGACAAACCGGAGGAAGGUGGGGAUGACGUCAAGUCAUCAUGGCCCUCAUGAGCAGGGCUACACACGUGCUACAAUGGCCGGUACAAAGGGUUGCUAACCCGCGAGGGGGCGCUAAUCCCAAAAAACCGGUCGUAGUCCAGAUUGGAGUCUGCAACUCGACUCCAUGAAGCCGGAAUCGCUAGUAAUCGUGGAUCAGAACGCCGCGGUGAAUACGUUCCCGGGCCUUGUACACACCGCCCGU